Molecule: long non-coding RNA, 433 nt
Organism: Fukomys damarensis (Damara mole-rat)
Lineage: Eukaryota; Metazoa; Chordata; Mammalia; Rodentia; Bathyergidae
Exons: 3
Source: RefSeq, a predicted model, not a curated record
AGCAAGUGGCGCUCCUGCAAACGCCCUCUCCUUGAGGGCGGUUAAAGGCAUCUCAAACGCCUGUGGUGGCGCCGCACAGUGACUACUGUUCUGGUCACACCGCACAGAGGCUGAAGCGGCGGAACAGGCCUGUGACCUGAGGGAGUCAAGACCGAAGAGGCCUUGUGCUACUUCUGUGUGGUGAGGCGGCGUCCGGGCCGGUGGUGACAGCAACAUGAUGAGGCUUCUGAGGCGGGCUUUGACUUUCUUCCGGAGGAGGCGGGUGAACCCCCAAGAAGAGCUCAAGUCUCCCAAUGAUCAGAUGGAGGUUGUCGAUGAUCAUGUUGCUGACUCCGGACCAUCGGAACCUGAAAUCAAAGUUCUACUUGGUUGUGUCACCUCUGUAAGGGACGGUAUUGCCUGCAUUAAUAAAGAAGUUUCCUUCCGCAGAGAU